This 1055-nucleotide unclassified non-coding RNA is filed under the name Hevea brasiliensis (rubber tree). Lineage: Eukaryota; Viridiplantae; Streptophyta; Magnoliopsida; Malpighiales; Euphorbiaceae. The record is from RNAcentral.
UGGGUAGUAAUUGAAAAUGGCUAAUCCAUCAGGAGUUGCUGGUUUUCGACUAACCACAUUUAUGGUAGCCCAGUAGUUCCUUGUAGGGUCUUGAGUGGCGUUCACUAAGACAGAAAAUGUCUCACCAGAGUAAAUGUAUAAGUUCUGGGUAACAAAUGGCUCAACAUAUGUCCCAUCAGCUUCAACAACUGUCAUGUUGUGGCCCUCUAUUUGGAAACUGAAAGAAGAAAGUGAAGUCAAGCUAGCAAUCCUAUACCGGUAUGUUUUUCCAGGAAUUACUGUUAAUACUGCUGGAGAACAUGUAGGAUUUGUUAGAUUACAAACUUCUGGGUCUACACUUGAACCCAAAAGAGAACAAUUGUACUUCCCUCUUCCAUUGAUUAGAAGUGACUGAGGUUCUCCAACCCACUGAAAAGGUAUCGAAGACAAGUUCGUGGCUUGUUCAUAAGGAUUGUGGUGGUACCAAUCACUAAGGAUGAUGUCUCUAUCAUAAUCAUAAGGAAAGGGGAAGGGCUCUGGUUGUCUAUUAGGAAGUGAUACACGGAUUAUUCCAUAUAGCCCUGAUUCUCUUUGCAUUCCAUAAUGCGAAUGAUACAUAUAUGUUCCAGCCCUGUCGACAACAAAUUUGUAGGUGAAGGUGUCACCAGGCAUUGUAGCACAUUGAGUAACUCCAUCUGUUCCAUCACUCCAUUGAGUUCCAAUCUGGCGGAUCCCAUGCCAGUGGAUGGCAACAUUUUCCAUGACCAAGUUAUUAAUAACAUUGACAAUAAUUGUAUCACCUUGCACUGCAUCAAUUGCAGGUCCUGGAGUCAUUCCAUUAAUGGCAAUAGAUAGCUUCUUGUAACAGUCAAGAAACUUGUACUGGUAUGAAAUCUCCCACGUAUAGUUGUGGAUUCUAGCCUCUGCAGGUGGAACAUCAAUUGAAACCCAGAGAAUUGAAACCUGAAAUAUUAUCAGAAUUCUGGUCAUCCGUUGUAAGAAUAAGAGGCUACCCAUCUCUUUGAUUUUCAGGCUUUUGAUAGCUAAUAGCUAUAGCUUGCUGAAAAACUAAGAGG